This 497-nucleotide ribosomal RNA is filed under the name uncultured bacterium. RNAcentral's name for it is "partial 16S ribosomal RNA". It matches the Rfam family "Bacterial small subunit ribosomal RNA", at positions 28 to 507 of the family's 1533-position model. The record is from RNAcentral.
GACGAACGCUGGCGGCGUGCCUAAUACAUGCAAGUUGAGCGAUGAAGAUUGGUGCUUGCACCAAUUUGCAGAGCAGCGCACGGGUGAGUAACGCGUGGGGAAUCUGCCUUUGAGCGGGGGACAACAUUUGGAAACGAAUGCUAAUACCGCAUAACAACUUUAAACAUAAGUUUUAAGUUUGAAAGAUGCAAUUGCAUCACUCAAAGAUGAUCCCGCGUUGUAUUAGCUAGUUGGUGAGGUAAAGGCUCACCAAGGCGAUGAUACAUAGCCGACCUGAGAGGGUGAUCGGCCACAUUGGGACUGAGACACGGCCCAAACUCCUACGGGAGGCAGCAGUAGGGAAUCUUCGGCAAUGGACGAAAGUCUGACCGAGCAACGCCGCGGGAGGGAAGAAGGUUGUCGGAUCGUAAAACUCGGUUGGUAGAGAAGAACGUUGGUGAGAGUGGAAAGCUCAUCAAGUGACGGUAACUACCCAGAAAGGGACGGCUAACUACGUG